This 492-nucleotide ribosomal RNA is filed under the name Sphaeriothyrium filicinum. Its description in RNAcentral is "eukaryotic LSU rRNA". The stretch from base 149 to 302 matches the Rfam family "5.8S ribosomal RNA". Lineage: Eukaryota; Fungi; Ascomycota. The record is from RNAcentral.
UUUACCUAGAGUUUUGUAGACUUCGGUCUGCUACCUCUUACCCAUGUCUUUUGAGUACCUUCGUUUCCUCGGCGGGUCCGCCCGCCGAUUGGACAACAUUCAAACCCUUUGCAGUUGCAAUCAGCGUCUGAAAAAACAUAAUAGUUACAACUUUCAACAACGGAUCUCUUGGUUCUGGCAUCGAUGAAGAACGCAGCGAAAUGCGAUAAGUAGUGUGAAUUGCAGAAUUCAGUGAAUCAUCGAAUCUUUGAACGCACAUUGCGCCCCUUGGUAUUCCAUGGGGCAUGCCUGUUCGAGCGUCAUUUGUACCUUCAAGCUCUGCUUGGUGUUGGGUGUUUGUCUCGCCUCUGCGUGUAGACUCGCCUUAAAACAAUUUUCAGCCGGCGUAUUGAUUUCGGAGCGCAGUACAUCUCCCGCCUUUUCACUCACAACGACGACGUCCAAAAGUACAUUUUUACACUUCUGACCUCGGAUCAGGUAGGAGCCGAACCC